RNAcentral lists this transfer RNA (77 nucleotides) under Gehongia tenuis. Its description in RNAcentral is "tRNA-Arg". It matches the Rfam family "tRNA". From Rfam's summary of the family: Transfer RNA (tRNA) molecules are approximately 80 nucleotides in length. Their secondary structure includes four short double-helical elements and three loops (D, anti-codon, and T loops). The record is from RNAcentral. Lineage: Bacteria; Bacillati; Bacillota; Clostridia; Christensenellales; Christensenellaceae. RNAcentral also lists the same sequence under 2 other names.
GCACCUAUAGCUCAGCAGGAUAGAGCGACCGCCUCCUAAGCGGUAGGCCACAGGUUCGAAUCCUGUUAGGUGCGCCA